GACGGAGGGUGCAAACGUUGUUCGGAAUCACUGGGCAUAAAGAGCACGUAGGCUGCGCGCUAAGUCAGGUGUGAAAUCCCCCGGCUCAACCGGGGAACUGCACCUGAUACUGGCGUGCUCGAGGACGGUAGGGGUGAGUGGAACUCCAGGUGGAGCGGUGAAAUGCGUAGAUAUCUGGAGGAACACCGGUGGCGAAAGCGGCUCACUGGACCGUCUCUGACGCUGAGGUGCGAAAGCGUGGGGAGCAAACAGG
This 253-nucleotide ribosomal RNA is filed under the name uncultured bacterium. RNAcentral describes it as "partial 16S ribosomal RNA". It matches the Rfam family "Bacterial small subunit ribosomal RNA", at positions 524 to 776 of the family's 1533-position model. The record is from RNAcentral.